CUCCGUCAAUGAAUUUGGAGGAGGCUUGGUCCAUCGCCAGGUUUUCCAUUUUGUGGGGAGGAAAGGAAAGUUGCUGGUCAUGCAGCUAUGAGGAUUCUGGUCCAAGUCUUAUUUAUCUUCGGAAAUUAAUAAAAUGGCUUUCUGAUUUUA
This is a long non-coding RNA of Orcinus orca (killer whale), 150 nucleotides long. RefSeq lists it as uncharacterized. The transcript has 2 exons. The record is from RefSeq and is a predicted model, not a curated record. Lineage: Eukaryota; Metazoa; Chordata; Mammalia; Artiodactyla; Delphinidae.